Molecule: long non-coding RNA, 533 nt
Filed under: Arabidopsis thaliana (thale cress)
Lineage: Eukaryota; Viridiplantae; Streptophyta; Magnoliopsida; Brassicales; Brassicaceae
Description: long non-coding RNA (ATHA_LNC000086)
Source: RNAcentral
AGAGCUCUAUUCCCAUCAAGGUGUGUGAGAUUCUCUGCUAAGACAAACCAAAAACCAGAUUGUUUUGCGUUCAUGGACAUGUUCCUCUCUGGAGAUUAGAAUCGUAGCUAUGACUAUGUCUGAAUUUCACAAGAGGUAGCUAACUCAGGCCUUUUUGCUCUUUUGACAGAAACACACUUCGGAAGAUGGAGAUCACUAACGUUACCGAGUAUGAUGCAAUCGCAAAGCAGAAGCUGCCUAAGAUGGUGUACGACUACUAUGCAUCUGGUGCAGAAGACCAAUGGACUCUUCAAGAGAACAGAAACGCUUUUGCAAGGAUCCUGUGAGUUUUUCUUUUCUUUUCGUAAGACAAGAAAUACUGUUUGUUAUUGGUUUUUACAAUAGGUGUGAUGCAUACCUUGGGCUGUUUAAUAGCUUUCGGCCUCGGAUUCUGAUUGAUGUGAGCAAGAUUGACAUGACAACCACCGUCUUGGGGUUCAAGAUCUCGAUGCCCAUCAUGGUUGCUCCAACUGCCAUGCAAAAGAUGGCUCACC